GGUCUGUGUGUUCAUGCCUGUUUGAUUUCCACUCACACCGUCCUUAGGUGUGUCCUGAGGACUGCUGGGCCCUGCGUUAGAGAGCAGUGAGUGAAGUGGGCCGUAGGCCCCCCUGGGUCCUGGCCCUGGCUCCCAGCUGUGCCUGCUUGGAUCAUUUCAGCAGGAGGGAGAGGUACCAGGAGCUGGGAUUUACCAGUGGUUUGGCUCCCUCCACUCGUGGCCUGUCCUGGGGGCAUGGCUUGGAAGGGCUGCUUUCUUCUAGACCUGGCUGUGUCUCCUGGCUGGUGGAGCUCAGAGCUUUUGGCUAAUGAUGCUGAAAUCCUUGUGGCUGGGGUGGACUGGACACGUGCUGUGCGUGUUUCCCAUUGGCACAGAGAGCUCCAGACAAAGCCCGGGGGUGGCAGCCAGCCCCCAGCCGCUCUCGUUUAACCAGGAAGCCAAUGCUGCCUCACUGCAAACCGCUUCCUUUGCCUGGGGGAGCUGGCCUGUGCUCUAGCAGAUUACCAGCAGGUGCUGGAGCUGAGCCCGGGGCACUGUGUGGUGCAGAGAACAGUUGCAGCAGCACUGCAGGGAUGGCAGGACCUGGUGGUGAGGCAGUACCAGCAGGUGGAAGCUCCCUUCUCUGAAGCCAUUGGGCAUGACCCCCAGAAACUGCUGUGCUGCCUGUGCUGGAGGAGGGUGGAGAGUGCAAGGAAAGCUGCUGCCCUGUGUCCAUGACUUGACCCAAUGCAUGGUUGUCCCCAGGUCCCCUGUUGUGACACUCCCCAGAAGCUAAAGCCAGCAGAAGGAUGUACAAGAGACUCAACAGCUCAUAGCACCAACUAUCAGCCUGCUGUAGAAAUCAUCCGUGAAUAAAAGGAAUUUCCAAAAC
Molecule: long non-coding RNA, 871 nt
Organism: Calidris pugnax (ruff)
Lineage: Eukaryota; Metazoa; Chordata; Aves; Charadriiformes; Scolopacidae
Exons: 3
Source: RefSeq, a predicted model, not a curated record